RNAcentral lists this ribosomal RNA (253 nucleotides) under uncultured prokaryote. Its description in RNAcentral is "partial 16S ribosomal RNA". It matches the Rfam family "Bacterial small subunit ribosomal RNA", at positions 525 to 777 of the family's 1533-position model. The record is from RNAcentral.
ACGAAGGGGGCUAGCGUUGCUCGGAAUCACUGGGCGUAAAGCGCACGUAGGCGGAUCUUUAAGUCAGGGGUGAAAUCCUGGAGCUCAACUCCAGAACUGCCUUUGAUACUGAGGAUCUUGAGUCCGGGAGAGGUGAGUGGAACUCCGAGUGUAGAGGUGAAAUUCGUAGAUAUUGGGAAGAACACCGGUGGCGAAGGCGGCUCACUGGCUCGUUUCUGACGCUCAGGCGCGACAGCGUGGGGAUCAAACAGGA